GAAUUUUGGUCAAUGCUCGAAAGAGUGAACUAGCUAACUGAAAUCAAUUUAAAAUAAUUGAUAACAUAAGGGAAAAUAAUGAUAUUACCUUAUUAUUAGUGUCGUCCAAAACUGGUGCCAGAAGACUCGGUAAGGCCAGAGACACAAACGUUAAUCGUCUUAAUCAGGCGUAAAGGGUUUGUAGGCGGCUUUAAAAUUUACUUAUAACAAAUAAAUUAUAACAUAUAAACAAAUAAAUUAUAACAUAUAACAAAUAAAUUAUAACAUAUAAACAAAUAAAUUAUAACAUAUAAAUAGAUAAAUAAUAACAUAUAACAAAUAAAUUAUAACAUAUAACCAAUAAAUAAUAACAUAUAACCAAUAAAUAAUAACAUAUAAAUAAAUAAAUUAUAACAUAUAAAUAAAUAAAUAAUAACAUAUAAUAAAUAAAUAAUAACAUAUAAUAAAUAAAUAAUAACAUAUAAACAAAUAAAUAAUAACAUAUAAAUAGAUAAAUAAAUAAUAACAUAUAAACAAAUAAACAAAUAAAUAAAUAAUAACAUAUAAACAAAUAAAUAAAUAAUAAGUAAAAAAUAAAAGCUAGAAUCAAAUAGAGGAUAUAUGAAAUAAUGCUUAGAGUAGGUCUGAUAUCCUUAGAUACUAAGUAGAAUAUUAAAGGCGAAAGCUUUUUUCCAUUAAUGAUUGACGCUCAGAAACGAAGGUGAGGAUAGGAAAUAGGAUUAGAUACCCAAAAUACCCCUCUCUGUAAACGAUGAAUGGUAGUUAUUAGUAAAAAUUAUUAAUGGCAAUGUUAACACGAUAACCAUUCCGCCUUGUGAGUACAACUGCAAAGUUGAAAACAAAAAAAUUAGUCGGUUUCGGAGCAACGAAGUGAAGCAUGUUAUUUA
Molecule: ribosomal RNA, 887 nt
Filed under: Russula olivascens
Lineage: Eukaryota; Fungi; Basidiomycota; Agaricomycetes; Russulales; Russulaceae
Description: partial 12S small subunit ribosomal RNA
Rfam family: Bacterial small subunit ribosomal RNA (bases 529-887)
Source: RNAcentral